CCCAGCUGUUGACAAAGGCCGCACUGUAGAACCCGGGUUUGGUGAAGGGUUGGAUUCCAAGCCACCACUUGUUAGGCCUCCCACUGGUCAUAGCUACACAAAGUGUAAUCAUAAGAAAACAUCGGAGAAACCCCAGUUCAAGGAUAUUAUGCACAAUACCUGACCAGUACUCCUCAAAAUUGAUGUGGUUAUCAAGAACAAGGAAAAUCUGAGAAACUGUCAAGCCAAGAGAAGCCUAUGGAGACAUUACAACUAACUGUAAUAUGAUAUCUUGGGUGGGAUCCUGGAAAAGAAGAAAAGAUAUUAGGUCUCUAGACUUUUGUUGAGUGAAGAACAAUUUACUAUGAGGUGACCUACAAAAACAACACUCAGAAUUCUCUCAAAUCACAUUGGUCAGUGCAAUCAGCUCUCAGAUAUUUGCUUGAGAAGCAGCCACAGGAGGCCAGCAAGAGGCAGAGAAGCUGGGGCCUUCCAAGGGGCGAGAAAGGAAGCAGGAGGAUCUUGGGUCAUGAUGUGGGACCUGAUGACACACAGUGGAACAGCAUCCAGAAGAGCUGCUGAGGUCAAAAAGGGGAAUCAAAAUGGUAGGUCACGGGCUGAAACUGGAGCAGACAGGACCAGGGGCAGUUGCCAGGCUAAAUGGGAGAGCCAGUAAAAAGGGCGGAAAGGGGAUGGAUCCUCCAGUGAGCAGAAAGAAGGGCUGAAGGUUUUCCAGAGGCUUUUCUUCGUGUCAUUACCAGGGUUUCUUGUUGUGGUUUCUUGGAUCUCAAUGAAAGAAUUAGCUAUUCUCUGAGGUACAAAUUAGAGACCUGGAGGGCCAUUUGCUAAAUAAUGUUUAUAAAUUUUUAUAUUAGUUGUCAACAUUUAUAAUUGGAAGAAUUCCCAUAAAGGUCUGGAUUUCCUGCUUUUCCUGAAAAACCAAGAGACCAAGCCAUCUUGGGUCUGCAUUUCUGCAGAGUAACUGUUGGUCUGCUUCUGUAGCUUGUUUCAAUCAUUUGUACUCCCUGACUGGCCCUGAAAGCAUCCAAGUUACUGCCCCUGUGGCACAUGAUUCUUAACCUGAAAACCAAGGUUUUCUGAAACACAGGAGGUUUGUGCUUAAAGCCUCCUUGACUCAUGACACCUUUUUUUUUAAACCACUUUAUUAAGGUAUGAUUGACAUAUGAAAAGCUAUCCAUAUUUUAUGUAUAUACCUUGAUGAGUUUAGAGAUAAGUAUACACUUAUGAAACUCUUAUCACAAUUUAUGCCGUAAGUCCAUCUAUCACUUCUCAACAUUUCUUCCUUUUGCCUUCUUAUUUAUUUAUUAUUGUUAUUGUUGUUGUGAUAAGAAUGCUUAUAAGAUCUACCCCGUUAGAAAACUUUUAGGUAUACAACACAAUAUGGUUAAGUCUAAGCACUAAGCUGUACAAUAUAUUUCAUUUUGUGUAACUCCCACAUCG
Long non-coding RNA from Herpailurus yagouaroundi (jaguarundi), 1440 nucleotides. RefSeq lists it as uncharacterized. The record is from RefSeq and is a predicted model, not a curated record. Lineage: Eukaryota; Metazoa; Chordata; Mammalia; Carnivora; Felidae. The transcript has 4 exons.